CCUACGGGUGGCAGCAGUCGAGAAUCUUUCACAAUGGGGGAAACCCUGAAGCUGCGACGCCGCGUGGAGGAUUGAAGUUUUCGGGUUUUUAACUCCUUUUGAUGGAGAAGCUAAUGACGGUAUCUAACGCAUAAGCACCAGCUAACUCCGUGCCAGCAGCAGCGGUAAUACGGAGGGUGCAAUCGUUACUGGGAAUCGCUGGGCGUAAAGGGAACGUGGGCGGGUUAGCAAGUCAUAUGUGAAAUCCGAUGGCUUAACCAGAGAACUGCAUUUGAAACUGUUAUUCUAGAGUAUGGGAGAGGUAGGUGGAAUUCUCGGUGUAGGGGUAAAAUCCGUAGAGAUCAAGAGGAACACUCAUGGCGAAGGCGAGUUGCUAGAAAAUAACUGACGCUGAGGCGCGAAGGCGAGGGGAGCAAACGGGAUUAGAUACCCGAGUAGUC
Molecule: ribosomal RNA, 440 nt
Filed under: uncultured bacterium
Lineage: Bacteria
Description: partial 16S ribosomal RNA
Rfam family: Bacterial small subunit ribosomal RNA
Source: RNAcentral